UACAUGUGGGGCAAGCGUUGUUCGGAAUUACUGGGCAUAAAGGGUGCGUAGGUGGUUUGGUAAGUCAGUGGUGAAAUCGUCCGGCCCAACCGGACACGUGCCAAUGAUACUGCCGAACUCGAGUGCGUGAGGGGUGGGGGGAACGAGCAGUGUAGAGGUGAAAUUCGUAGAUAUUCGCAAGAACACCAGUGGCGAAGGCGGCUCACUGGCCCGGUACUGACGCUGAGGUGCGAAAGCUAGGGGAGCAAACGGG
This 253-nucleotide ribosomal RNA is filed under the name uncultured bacterium. RNAcentral describes it as "partial 16S ribosomal RNA". It matches the Rfam family "Bacterial small subunit ribosomal RNA", at positions 524 to 776 of the family's 1533-position model. The record is from RNAcentral.